Molecule: long non-coding RNA, 2971 nt
Filed under: Homo sapiens (human)
Lineage: Eukaryota; Metazoa; Chordata; Mammalia; Primates; Hominidae
Description: HSALNT0306941
Source: RNAcentral
AGUGGAUCUCAUAGAAGUACAGAGUGAAAUAUUAGGUUGGUACAAAAGUAAUUGCAGUUUUUGCCAUUUAAAAGUAAUGUUAAAAGUAAUAGUUACCAAUUGGCAAGAAUGUGUGUGUGUGGGUGGGUAGAGGAAUGGAUGGGCAUAAAUUGGUACAAACAUACAGUUAAGUAGAAGGAAUAAGUUCUAAUGUUUGAUAGCAGAGUAGGAUGUCUAUAGUUAGCAGCAGUGUAUUGUAUAUAUAUCAAAAUAACUAGAAGAGAGGGCUAGAAAUGUUCUCAACACAUAAAAAUGACAAAUACUCAAGGUGCUGGACACCCUAAAUACUCUGACUUGAUCAUCACACAUUCUAUGCAUGUAACAAAAUACCACAUGUACUGCAUAAAAGUGUACAAAUAGUAUAUAUUAAUUACAAAAAAAAAUCGUGUGGCUACCAAAACUCAUUAUUUCAGGUGCUAGCAAAUGUAGUCACAACCAAGACUAGGCUUGAACUCUUCCUUUCAGCUUCCUGACAGCCAAGUAACGGAGUGAAAGGUCAGAUAAUUUACUUAGACCUGAGACUGCCAUUAAUAUUGUCAACAAAUUGCUUUGAUCUACAGCUCAUUAGCUUUGGUUGGAAUUGCUAAGCAAAUAAGCCAAAGUGAAAUUUUGUUCUAUCCAAUGGCCUAUCUAGUACCUUAACCCCAGACAACCUUCUUACAUGGUGAUCACAACUAAGCUGGUGAAUGGGCAUAAAUCUUUUAUUGCUACCAGAAAAAAAAAAAAUCAAAGUGCAAGCUCUAUCAAAUGUAAGUGAAUGCCCAUGAUGUGUCUAGCAUCUAUACACUGUGUUCUAGAAGUAUGUUAAUUUGGCUUAAAGAAAAACUAUAAAUUCUUUGUCUUCAUUCAGAAAUCAGUAAUUCUCAAAAGGGAAGGUAGUUUAUAACCCCUAGGAAGAUCAGUGAUUCUCAAAAGGUGGUACGGUUUAUAACCUCUAGGGGUCACAUCCGAAUCUCCUGAGGAAAAUGCUGAACUAUGCAAUCCCUUCUCAACUUUCCCCUAGAGACAGAUUCUAACAACAUUGUCUCCUAUGAAAGAUUUCAUGAUUACUGUCAUGAAUCACUAUUAUUGAUGGGAGAAAAAGUUUAUAUCAGGUAUAUUGAGAUGCAAAAGGAAAAGAAUCACUGUUAUAAGCUGAAAUUGUUGAUGGAAGUGCACAGGAAACAAAACAGCAGCAAGAUAUUACACAAUUAGCUGACAUGUAUAGUGACAUUUUUGCCAGAUUACACACAAAAAAAUAUAACUGUAGUUUUUUCAUGAGCCAAAUUUCAAUAACAGCUAUUAAAUGGUAUUUAAAAUGCAUCAUUUAUAGAAAUGACCUUUUUCAGAAGAACUGGAAAAUUUUAACUCAUAUAUACUAGCUGAAGGAAAAAAAGGUUCUUGCUUAUAUUUCAAUAAGCCCUCUCUGCAUUGAGAAAAGAACAUUGUUGACUACCUUUUGUUUCUUGGCUUGAUACUAGUUCUCUAGCUUUCUUCUUUUUUUGUUUUCUUUUUUUUAAAUACACAAUUUUUACUAAUGCAAACCUCACAUUGACUCAGAUGAAAGAGGCAACAGAAUUUCUGGAUACCGUGUACCCUUUAGAUAAUGUACCUCAACAACGAUUCAGUUUCUUUUUCUAAUUUUGCAGAUCAUUUAACAAAGUGUACAGCUGAAAAUGGUUUGUUCACUUCUCUUUCCUCGUGAUAAUCACUUCUUUUAUGGACUGAAAGCACUUUGUGCUUUUUCCUCUGUAAUCCUAGUUGAUUAUACAGUAUCUUCAUUGUUGCUCGGUGUAUAAGUCUUCGAGGUUUCGGCUGCACUGUCCAAAUCAUGAUGAGCUUCAACCAUGGCCACUGACGAAACCUCAGGCAUUUCGGCUGGUAUUUUGAACAAAUUUAUUUACUGCCUUUAUUAUAAUGUUGUCGGACAGUUGUGCAUCUAGAUGAUCUGGUGGAGUUUACACUUCAGAGGCACUGGGAAUGCCAAAGAUUUAUUUGCCUCUCAUUCAUUAAGAAGAAAAAAGAAAGAAAAUGUAACUAAUUGAAGAGUCUGGAUGACAAUUAUCUGUUUGUCGCCAUGGGUUGGGCAGAUCCUGAAGAGAACCAACUUGAGUCUGACAGUCCUUCCAGAACACGGCACCCACCUCCACCAUAUAACACAGCCAAGUGAAACACUAAGGAGGCUCUGUAAGGCAUGACUCUGAAGAAGGCCACUAUCUUUUACUGCCGUGACACCAUUUCUCAGAACACAUCACAUGGCCCCUGAGUGGUCAGGAGUCCAGAGAAAAACAGUCAAGCCCUCCUUUAAUAGUAAAAUUUUUGUCUGACCCUCUCAAGUGGCUAUGUAGAUCUCUUGCAAAUUGAACCAGAAGGUCUUUGGUUCAAGUUCCUGACUUAGCAAUUUUGUAUGUUAUCUCACAUACCAUGAUCAGGUUCUUUGUGGAAGUUCUCUCUUUAAUUCUUCUUGAAAUAGGUUUGUUUUGUUUUGUUUUUUUAAUGCCUAUUUGAAAUCUGAGGAAACAAAAGCUCAGAAAGUGACUGGGUCCUUGACUUCCCAGCUCUUUACUACAGUCACUGGGGAACACAGUGACCCCAUCCCUAAUCGCUUCUUCAAGCGGUGCAAGUGACCCAGGAAUUCCCCGGCCAUUGCACAAUGAACUUUCCAUACCUUUAUUGGGAAUUCAGUUGUGGGGAGGAAAUCAAGGCUUUCAAAAACAUUAUCAGUAGACAAAAAUGAAGCCCCAUCUGCAUUUGAAUUUUCUAGUUUCUCAGUGUCAGGCAUUGAAUUGUCAUGGUUUGGCUCCCACUCGUUUUCUGCUUCAACGCUCAACAAGAAGACAUGGAAGUGCAGCAUCACCUAGAAUUCACUUGGUUGGAAAGAAAUGCAUUUCCUGUGAGUUGGAGAAGGUCCUUCCAUUCUUUGCAGGAUCUCACUCUGUCACCCAGGCUGGAG